This is a non-coding RNA of Triticum urartu, 481 nucleotides long. Lineage: Eukaryota; Viridiplantae; Streptophyta; Magnoliopsida; Poales; Poaceae. The record is from RefSeq and is a predicted model, not a curated record.
CGGGAACCAGACGAAGCGCGGGUGGCUCGCAGCGGAGAAGAAGCCGGCCCGGCAUGGUUUGAUGCUUGUCCGGUGUUAAGAGCGUGACGAGGCUGCAGAGCCUGUCCAGCGCAGCCGCCACUCGAAGUGGAUGCAAGCGGGGGCAUCUUGCGGGAUGCAGAGCGGAGAGAACCAACUCCAACGGCGGCUCGGAAUAAGCCAUGAAGGCAACUUGGAGUGGAGGAUGGCUCGGAACGGCACGGUGGCUCCCGCGCGGCGGAGACCAGGCGGCGAUCUGUUCAUGGAGUCGUCGGAGCCCCAAUCCGUCUCCGGGUUGUGACACCUUCUUUUUUUUUCUUUUUUUCAUUUUUUUGACUUGACUUUGUAUUAUUUUUGGGAGUACCUAGAACUCAUCUAGAUGAGAUAUAAUUUGGUCUCAUUCACUUAAAAAAUAAGAAUAUAUAACAUCUAGACGAGUUCUAGCAAAACUGAUUAUUUUUCU